This 190-nucleotide ribosomal RNA is filed under the name uncultured Staphylococcus sp. Its description in RNAcentral is "partial 16S ribosomal RNA". It matches the Rfam family "Bacterial small subunit ribosomal RNA", at positions 150 to 334 of the family's 1533-position model. Lineage: Bacteria; Bacillati; Bacillota; Bacilli; Caryophanales; Staphylococcaceae. The record is from RNAcentral.
CGGGAAACCGGAGCUAAUACCGGAUAAUAUUUUGAACCGCAUGGUUCAAAAGUGAAAGACGGUCUUGCUGUCACUUAUAGAUGGAUCCGCGCUGCAUUAGCUAGUUGGUAAGGUAACGGCUUACCAAGGCAACGAUGCAUAGCCGACCUGAGAGGGUGAUCGGCCACACUGGAACUGAGACACGGUCCGG